AGAGGCGGGGGAGACGCGGGUACUGCGCAAGCGCAGAGAAGGCCGCUCCCGGUAGCCGUUACUUCAACCGUCUGCGACUCAGUCUCCUGAGGCAGCGGUGGGUUCUGAUACGGCCGGUGCAUCUUCACAAGUGCCGAGUUACCUUCACCAGCCACCUGCGCCCUGGCCAAUUCGUCCUUCUUGUGCUCGUUCGCUUAGCCGGCUUCUCGCUCAACCUGACAAGCAUUUCUGGGCAAGGUUCACAGCUAUUGCUUUUUUUUUUUUUUUUCCUUCUUUGAACUAAAACCGAAACAGACUCUGUUUUCUCGAGUGGUUUCUGUAGCGGCGCUGAGCCGGAACACCCCAGCCGCUUUCUCUCGGUGAGGGGGUGAGCUCGUAGUCAGCCCAUUUCUCACACACGGAAACUGAGGCCUGCGGAGAGGCGGCCCCAGACAGAGAUGAGGAAAGUCAGGAAGAUGCAAAUGAGGCCCAGAAAGUUUUGUGCUGAGAUUUGAAGGAGAAGGAAAAGAAGGCGAAAUGCUUACCCUUAGAGGAACAGCAGCAACAGAGCAAGUCUGAAGGAAGGGCAGGAGCCUGAAGUCCUGGUGGGCCUUGUGUUAGGUCCCCUAUGAGGAAUCAGAGAUCAAAUUGCCAACAUCCAUGAUCAUCAAAAAAGCAAGAGAGUUCAAGAAAAACAUCUACUUCUGCUUUACUGACUAUGCCAAAGCCUUUGUGUUGAUCACAACAAACUGUGGAAAAUUCUUAGAGUUGGGAAUACCAGACCACCUGACCUGCCUCCUGAGAAAUCUGUGUGCUGGUCAAGAAGCAACAGUUAGAACUGGACAUGGAACAACAGGCUGGUUCCAAAUCCGGAAAGGAGUACGUCAAGGCUGUAUACUGUCACCCGCUUAUUUAACUUAUAUGCAGAGUACAUCAUGAGAAACGCUGGGCUGGAAGAAGUGCAAGCUGGAAUCAAGAUUGCCGAGAGAAAUAUCAAUAACCUCAGAUAUGCAGAUGACACCACACUUACGGCAGAAAGCGAAGAAGAACUAAAGAGCCUUUUGAUGAAAGUGAAAGAAGAGAGUGAAAAAGUUGGCUUAAAACUCAACAUUCAGAAAACUAAGAUCAUGGCAUCCUGUCCCAUCACUUCAUGGCAAAUAGAUGGGGAAAUAGUAGAAACAGUGAAAGACUUUAUUUUUUGGGGCUCCAAAAUCACUGCAGAUAGUGGAACCAUGAAAUUAAAAGACACUUGCUCCUUGGAAGAAAAGACCAACCCAGACAGUAUAUUAAAAAGCAGAGACGUUACUUUGCCAACAACGAUUCGUCUAGUCAAAGCUAUGGUUGUUCCAGUAGUCACGUAUGGAUGUGAGAGUUGGACCAUAAAGAAAGCUAAGCACUGAAGAAUUGAUGCUUUUGAACUGUGGUGUUGGAGAAGACUCUUGAGAGUCCCUUGGACAGCAAGGAGAUCCAACCAGUCCAUCUUAAAGGAGAUCAGUCCUGGGUGUUCAUUGGAAGGACUGUUGCUGAAGCUGAAACUCUAAUACUUUGGCCACCUGAUGCAAAGAACUGACUCAUUUGAAAAGGCCCUGAUGCUGGGAAAGAUUGAGGGUAGGGGGAGAAGGGGACAACAGAGGAUGAGAUGGUUGGAUGGCAUCACUGACUCAAUGGACAUGAGUUUGGGUAAACUCCAGGAGUUGGUGAUGGACAGAGAGGCCUGGCGUUCUGCGGUUCAUGGGGUCACAAAGAGUCGGACGCGACUGAGCGACUGAACUGAACUGAACAAUUAAAUAUUUGUUUAAUAUUUGCCUCCCUUAUUAAACUAAAAGAUCCAAAAAGGCAGGACCAUGUCU
This is a long non-coding RNA of Dama dama (fallow deer), 1829 nucleotides long. RefSeq lists it as uncharacterized. NCBI's taxonomy places the organism in Eukaryota, Metazoa, Chordata, Mammalia, Artiodactyla, Cervidae. The transcript has 3 exons. The record is from RefSeq and is a predicted model, not a curated record.